This 603-nucleotide ribosomal RNA is filed under the name Triticum aestivum (bread wheat). Its description in RNAcentral is "partial small subunit ribosomal RNA". The record is from RNAcentral. Lineage: Eukaryota; Viridiplantae; Streptophyta; Magnoliopsida; Poales; Poaceae.
AUGGCGUUCUACCAGGGCAAGCUCUACGCCAUUGCCAAUGACGAGAACCUCCUUGUGGUGAACAUCAGCCAGGACCAUAGCACCGGCGAUCCACAGGUUUCUUGGAUUGGACAAAUCAUCAAGGGUGAGCCAUGGUAUCCAGUUGUGUUGGAAGACAACACUAUGCCCUGCAAGAAGCUCUACCUGGUUGAAUCGCAUGGGGCACUGCUGAUGGUACGAAGGGCAAUUUGGUGCCGGGUACCUGGACCUGGAGUGCCUGGUGAAGUUAUUGCUGGAGUGAGCGGGUUUGAGGUUUUCAAGGCCGACUUUGAGCAUUCACGGUGGGUCAAGGUGUCGACCAUGGGGGAUGACCAAGUGCUGUUUCUAGGGCGAAGGUGCUCCAGGGCCAUGUCUGUGUCUCAGUACGGGCUGUCGGGUGAUUAUAUCUUCUUCUUGGAUGAUGAUGAGGAGAAUUGUACGGACUACUGCUACGACAAGGAGAACACUUCUUUCAGCGCCUAUGACAUGAGAUCCAGCAGUGUCCUUCCGGCAUGUCCCAGUAUUUUCUGGAAGUGUUGUAAUGAGAUGCGUCUGGCUGCAUGGCUCUUCCCUGAGGACCGAUGA